UUCAUUUCUUCCUUCACUUUCUGUUGAAUGAGUGUCUGCCACUUGUUCUUGUAGAGGUUCAGAUACUCACUUCAUUAUUUUACCUGCUUCUGCCUUGCUCUCCCCCACUCUGAUUGAUUUUUCUUCAUAUAUAUGUUCUCAUUGUUUUAUUGAGCUUUCUGCAAAUCUUCUUAUUGAGAAUAUUGAAUCAGUACAUCAGAUUCUUUGUGAGACAGAGAUGUACUCUGCAUUUCUACACACUUAUCUUGAGAUCUUGAAGUUCUUGAUGCAGGCUGAGUUUUAAUUUUUGUUGUGUAUGAAUUGUUUCUGAAGGUGUUGAGCUGAGAUGUUUUGUUGAUAUGUGUCUUUUUCUUUUCUUUGUUCUUGCAAUAUUCAUAUAUUUUUAGAAAUUGAGUGAAGCUCUUGUGGUGGCUACUAGAGCUGUGUGUGAAUAGAUCUUUUUUCUGGCUUUCUUUUUCCCUUCCUCUUUUUCUUAUCUGACAUCAAUCUCAUGUGAUCUUUUACUGAUUCUAUACUUUGAUAACCAGGUG
Molecule: small RNA, 530 nt
Filed under: Histoplasma capsulatum
Lineage: Eukaryota; Fungi; Ascomycota; Eurotiomycetes; Onygenales; Ajellomycetaceae
Also listed under: 1 other name
Description: hypothetical RNA
Source: RNAcentral